CCUACGGGUGGCACCAGUGGGGAAUAUUGCACAAUGGGGGAAACCCUGAUGCAGCAACGCCGCGUGAGUGAUGAAGGUUUUCGGAUCGUAAAGCUCUGUCUUCAGGGACGAUAAUGACGGUACCUGAGGAGGAAGCCACGGCUAACUACGUGCCAGCAGCCGCGGUAAUACGUAGGUGGCGAGCGUUGUCCGGAUUUACUGGGCGUAAAGGGAGCGUAGGCGGACUUUUAAGUGAGAUGUGAAAUACUCGGGCUCAACCCGGGGGCUGCAUUUCAAACUGGGAGUCUAGAGUGCAGGAGAGGAGAGUGGAAUUCCUAGUGUAGCGGUGAAAUGCGUAGAGAUUAGGAAGAACACCAGUGGCGAAGGCGACUCUCUGGACUGUAACUGACGCUGAGGCUCGAAAGCGUGGGGAGCAAACAGGAUUAGAUACCCUGGUAGUC
This 440-nucleotide ribosomal RNA is filed under the name uncultured bacterium. Its description in RNAcentral is "bacterial SSU rRNA". It matches the Rfam family "Bacterial small subunit ribosomal RNA", at positions 338 to 795 of the family's 1533-position model. The record is from RNAcentral.